This is a long non-coding RNA of Andrographis paniculata, 941 nucleotides long. RefSeq lists it as uncharacterized. Lineage: Eukaryota; Viridiplantae; Streptophyta; Magnoliopsida; Lamiales; Acanthaceae. The record is from RefSeq and is a predicted model, not a curated record. The transcript has 2 exons.
UCUUUUUAUGAUUGACAAGGUUUGCUUUGGUUUCAAUAAACAUUUUCUAAUUGUCAGCAAAUUGAUAGCCAAUUUUCAUAAAUUUUGUGAGUUUGAUCACCAAUGGAGUUGAGAAAAGUGUGUGUAUGGAAUAAGGAUGGGUGUUGGAUUCUUUAAUUCGAACAGGACAAAGACAGGACUACACUAAGAAAAGUAAUGGAUUUCUGAUAAAGAUCACAGAUGGAGAAGAGAAUUGAUAUAUGUGUGUGAAGAUGAAGAUGAAGGAAGCCUACUUACUUGGAUCGAUGGAUCAAAGCAGCUCUCUGAUAAUUGCAGUAGCAACCAGAGCAAGCUCACGGAGAUCUUGGUUCACUUGGCUCAGCGGCGAUUCCAUCCAUUUCUCGAAGUUACCUUGGCAAAUCUCCGCCUCCCACGCCGCGUCGGACAUUCCGAAUUCGGCGAAUUUCGGAACGCCUUUUCGCAAACCGACAACCGCCUCCGGCACAUCCGCCUUCAGCACCGCCUCAUACGCAGCGGUGCAGUGUUCCAGCGCCUGCCUCUGCUCCGGAUGGAGUAACCACUGCUCGCUGAUCGCGGAUAGCGCUGUCUCCGCCUUGGCUCUGACAGCAUCCACCAUGAUGAGGCCGAGUCCCGGCACGUCGGCGGUGGCGCUGCAUGGAUCGGCGCGCAGCGUAGAGACGCAGAGGCGAUAAUUCGACGUCUUCCUGCACGUGGUUUCAAUCAGAUCGUCAUCCUUGACUCUGAGUCUGAGCUGCGUGAUGAUUGCUUGCGCGUGAAGAAUCGCGAGCAGAAUAUCUGAGAACUUCAUUCCGGUCCGGUCGGCGUUCGUUACUUUCAAUUGAGGAGUUGAGCUAAGCUCCGGCGAGAAUUGAUCCGUAUAUAAGGCAUAAACACUUACAUAAUCAUUUCAUUAUUUACUGAAUAAUAAUUUUGAUUAAUUA